GAGUUUGAUCGUGGCUCAGGAUGAACGCUAGCUACAGGCUUAACACAUGCAAGUCGAGGGGCAGCGGGAUUGAAGCUUGCUUCAAUUGCCGGCGACCGGCGCACGGGUGAGUAACGCGUAUCCAACCUUCCGCUUACUCGGGGAUAGCCUUUCGAAAGAAAGAUUAAUACCCGAUGGUAUCUUAAGCACGCAUGAGAUUAAGAUUAAAGAUUUAUCGGUAAGCGAUGGGGAUGCGUUCCAUUAGGCAGUUGGCGGGUAACGGCCCACCAAACCUACGAUGGAUAGGGGGUUCUGAGAGGAACGGUCCCCCCACAUUGGAACUGAGACACGGUCCAAACUCC
Molecule: ribosomal RNA, 341 nt
Filed under: uncultured bacterium
Lineage: Bacteria
Description: bacterial SSU rRNA
Rfam family: Bacterial small subunit ribosomal RNA
Source: RNAcentral